Molecule: ribosomal RNA, 253 nt
Filed under: uncultured bacterium
Lineage: Bacteria
Description: partial 16S ribosomal RNA
Rfam family: Bacterial small subunit ribosomal RNA
Source: RNAcentral
UCCGUAGGUGGCAAGCGUUGUCCGGAUUUAUUGGGUGUAAAGGGUGCGUAGGCGGUCCUGUAAGUCCGUUGUGAAAUACGGCAGCUUAACUGUCGAGGUGCAAUUGAUACUGCAGGGCUUGAGUACUGAUGAGGUAGGCGGAAUGGACGGUGUAGCGGUGAAAGGCUUAGAGAUCGUCCAGAACACCGAUAGCGAAGGCAGCUUACUAAGGAGUAACUGACGCUGAGGCACGAAAGUGUGGGGAUCAAACAGG